This is a non-coding RNA of Caenorhabditis elegans, 70 nucleotides long. The record is from Ensembl. Lineage: Eukaryota; Metazoa; Nematoda; Chromadorea; Rhabditida; Rhabditidae.
UUUUUUGGGCUUAAAAAUUGGAUUUUUAGGCUUUAAAUUUGGAUUUUUAGGCUUUAAAUUUGGAUUUUUU